RNAcentral lists this ribosomal RNA (468 nucleotides) under uncultured bacterium. RNAcentral describes it as "partial 16S ribosomal RNA". It matches the Rfam family "Bacterial small subunit ribosomal RNA", at positions 28 to 507 of the family's 1533-position model. The record is from RNAcentral.
GACGAACGCUGGCGGCGUGCUUAACACAUGCGAGUCGAACGGAAAGGCCCUGCUUUUGUGGGGUGCUCGAGUGGCGAACGGGUGAGUAACACGUGAGUAACCUGCCCUUGUCUUUGGGAUAACUUCAGGAAACUGGGGCUAAUACCGGAUAGGAGCUCCUGCUGCAUGGUGGGGGUUGGAAAGUUUCGGCGGUUGGGGAUGGACUCGCGGCUUAUCAGCUUCUUGGUGGGGUAGUGGCUUACCAAGGUUUUGACGGGUAGCCGGCCUGGGAGGGUGACCGGCCACAUUGGGACUGAGAUACGGCCCAGACUCCUACGGGAGGCAGCAGUGGGGAAUAUUGCACAAUGGGCGGAAGCCUGAUGCAGCAACGCCGCGUGCGGGAUGACGGCCUUCGGGUUGUAAACCGCUUUCGCCUGUGACGAAGCGUGAGUGACGGUAAUGGGUAAAGAAGCACCGGCUAACUACGUA